GAGUUUGAUCGUGGCUCAGAUUGAACGCUGGCGGCAUGCCUUACACAUGCAAGUCGAACGGCAGCAUGAUCUAGCUUGCUAGAUUGAUGGCGAGUGGCGAACGGGUGAGUAAUACAUCGGAACGUGCCCUGUAGUGGGGAUAACUAGUCGAAAGAUUAGCUAAUACCGCAUACGACCUGAGGGUGGAAAGUGGGGGACCGGCAAGGCCUCAUGCUAUAGGAGCGGCCGAUGUCUGAUUAGCUAGUUGGUGGGGUAAAGGCCCGACCAAGGCGACGAUCAGUAGCUGGUCUGAGAGGACGAUCAGCCACACUGGGACUGAGACACGGCCCAGACUCCUACGGGAGGC
This 346-nucleotide ribosomal RNA is filed under the name uncultured microorganism. RNAcentral's name for it is "bacterial SSU rRNA". It matches the Rfam family "Bacterial small subunit ribosomal RNA", at positions 9 to 349 of the family's 1533-position model. The record is from RNAcentral.